Molecule: ribosomal RNA, 810 nt
Filed under: Triticum aestivum (bread wheat)
Lineage: Eukaryota; Viridiplantae; Streptophyta; Magnoliopsida; Poales; Poaceae
Description: partial small subunit ribosomal RNA
Source: RNAcentral
AUGUAUGUCAUACUGUGCAUUUUGUAUUUUUUUAUGAAUAUGUUCCUUCAUGAUCAAGUCAAUGUGUGCAAUUCAUCCCUGACAGGAACUCCUAGGGCUAGCCAAUUCACGACAGGGACUUCGAGUACACCAAGUGCAAGACAUGUGACGGAAAACAAUGAGGAACCACAAUUAACUCCGAUGAAGCCUGUCUUUGGUAAUGAUUACAAGUUCACGGAUGAGGACAUAGAGACAGCCGUUUACAUCCGCGGAACAUAUGACCCUGUUGAAAUAGCUAGAAUCGGAGACAUUUCCCUCACAGCAGAAAAUUUGAAGCGAAAUUUGGACGACAAAUACAUUUAUGGUGAUGUUAUUAUGGCAUAUGCUCGCAUUAGCCAAAUUGAAAAUGAUACUACCUCAAUCAUAUCCCCUCAAGAAACCGAAAAGCUGUUACAAAUGAAGGGGGUGGUUCCUGUUGGACGUGCAGCCUCAUGGUUAGCUCAUGUAGCAGGAAAAUUUAUAGGGCACCGAAAGGUGCAUGUCCCACUCAAUGUACACCAAAACCAUUGGAUGCUAAUGAUGUUUAAUUUUGACAAAAAAGAAAUUCAGACUCUGAACUCCAUGAAUUAUCAUCGCGACAAGACCAAGGUGGACUCGAUUCGGUUCUGCAUUGAUGAAGCUGUCAAGAAAGGGUUGAUAUCACCAGCUAAUAACAUCAAUUUUGCCAAAUGGACCAAAAAACGCUAUGAGAACAUACACAACAGACCGAUGGGACUUCCUGCGCGGUUUGGACACUGCAGUACAUGUUGUCAUGGAACGGGGAUGAAAUGA